AGUAAGAAAUUCAAUAUCUUUCCAAGUAAAGAUGGGGCAGAGGAAAAAAAUCCAGACAGUGAAACAUAUAUCCAUAUCCACUGAAAGGUGCACAGUGGAUAAAGAUACAAUAAAUCAAGGUAAUGAUAGAUGCAAACUGCUGUUGCAUGUGGAUUUGACUGAUAUCUCCCAAAUUAAUAAGUGUGCUAUAUAUAAUAAAAAUGUAUUUCCUGGAACAAUAAUUCCAAAUUGGCAAAAACAACAACUAUCAAAUCCAUUCUAUGAAUGCCGUUAACAAGCUUUAUGGUCAAGAGCCUGUUUUAAUUUAGACUACCACGGACAAUAUUGGUUGGCUUUAGGAAUAUAGGUUUAUCACUUCACUUGUAACCCUCAGGGUGGCUAUGUAGUUAGAAAUAAAAUGAUGAAAAAAAAUUAAAUGCAAAAAGUUAAAUAUCAGGAUUUAAAUAAAAAUAUUGUUUCAUCUUGACAAUACUGCCAAACUAUUUUGUGCUAUUUUGCUGCAUCUGCUUUAAACCAUUCCUCUUAUAUCUAAAUGACACAUUUUUAAAUAUGGAUGCUGAUUAGGGAAUGCUUUAUCACGACUCUAGUGAACAUAUGGCUACAUGAGUAUAAGCAAUGCAUACAUAAACAUAAGAUCCACUGUACUCAUCGUAUCAGCCACUUAGUAUGGUCAUGUUGUUAUUCCCUGGCAUUGGACUGUUGCUUUUAAUGCUUAUUAAAACACCAUAUUAUCUAGCUAUAGAUGGUUAGAUGCUCAAAGAAUGUCCUUUUCAAAAUUAGGCCUUUUUGGGACAUACUGAAUUACAUGCGUCGGCCCUUCCUGUUGUUAACCAUUUUCAUGACAAAUUGCAACGGGAUAAAACUCUGAUAAUUCUUUAAAUCUUGACCUAGUACUAAAUAAUCACUAGAGCAGAAACAUUGAGCUGAAAAAACAAACACAAAACACUCUUUGGUGAAACAAAAGGCAUGCACAGUAUUUAAAUGAGUGGAAAAGGCAGUGACAACCAUGUCAACUCAAAAUAUGUUCCUGAUUUGGGACCUGUCCCACUCAAACAUUUGUUAAAUUGCCAGGUCCCUAACUAUUCUCUCUGUAGCACAAUCACUCUGAACUAUUUCACAAUCUUUCAGAGGUGGCUUCUCACAAGCUGCAUCAAGAAAGUUGAAAACACAGCGAUUAGAGGGUUUCAUCAAUGUGAUUAAAAACCAUGUAAACCCUCAAAAGGAUUCAAACGCUCUUAUGCUGGGAAUGCAUUGUGACGUGACGUCAGCCUCGACAUUCAAGGUGUAACAAACCCGUUCACAGUGUAAUCCCCUCAAUGAAAAUCAGAUCACAUGGAUGCAAAAAGGUCUCCACAAUUCUUCGACGACGCAAUUGACCGGACUAAUCAAGUAUGCAAAAAAAACAAGAACCCAGAGUCAUGGCAAAUAAAAUGAUCAGCCCCCAACAAAAAAUUAUAAAAUGAGCUGAGUUUGGUUAACAUAAAAAAUGUAAUACAAUCGACCUAAUAAACUUUACUGUCCCAUUUAUAUAUCAGCUGAUUGAAUGUUUCCACCAGUGACAAUAUGUUUCUACAACUGAAUCGAUUAUCAGCGAAAACACAGAUUAAAACUGUGUUUUUUUUCCAGCACAACAUUGUGGUAGUUGCAUUAGAUCUCGGGAAUGUUGCUGCUUGCCUCGAUAACAUGGAUACAGAUUCUCUAUCCUAAAAUCUUUUUCUCUAGUCCUGGUGUUUGAUAAAAGUACUUGCUAGUACAGAUAUUCACACUGAUAGUCACAUUGGAGGAAACUUGAAUUGCUUAAGGAAACAUCACAUCAUGACUAUUUGUGAUGGCGCAAAAUAAUUGUGAAACCCAUCUUUGAUUUGUGAAAACACAUCAGCUUCCUUAUAAAACAUGAAACACAUCAAUGCUGUACAGAAAAGAGGCUGUGAGGCUGGAACAGUACAAACUUGUUAAAAUUAUUAUGUGGUUUUCCUCAACAUAAUCUGGCAUAAGCUUGUGUAUAAAAGCUAAAACAUAGUUUAACUUAUAACACCAGAAUGUUUGGAGAUAAUUAAGCACAGAAUAUAAUGAAAAUCUGCCCAAAUUGCCAACCUUACAGUUUAAAGAAUCAGUCUUUUUUUCAUAUGACCUGUAUAAUUAGACUAAACACGUGUCUGACUUCUGUUGAUUAGCCAAUCUGCAUUCCUUUCACUUCAAGCCACACCUCAUCCAAAGCCUUACUAUUACUUUAUAAAAAGGGACAGUCGAUCACAAUUCAGUCCCAGCCACAUCCGACAAGACAAGACAAACCUGGUUUCAAAGUGGUAAAUCCUGUCUCAUGUCUAUGCGACUUGGUAAUGUGCAACAUGGUGGAAAUGUGUCAGAUGUACAACACACACACACUCCCACAUUCACUCCACCCCCUUCUCUCUGUGCGACCUUAAAUUCAGUGAGGAAGGCCUUUUAUUCUGUCGCCUGCCCUGCAUUCCACAUGUCUCUUUUGUCCUCUUAUCACCAUGGCUUUCGUGCUGUCUCCUGUUUGUAUGCUUGCCUUUGCUUGUGUCUCUGAUGUUACUUUGACCCCCCCCCCCCC
Molecule: long non-coding RNA, 2575 nt
Organism: Esox lucius (northern pike)
Lineage: Eukaryota; Metazoa; Chordata; Actinopteri; Esociformes; Esocidae
Source: Ensembl